CACCUGGGACUGCACGUCCGGGAGCGAUCUCAGUUGGGAGUGUCCAUCUACCACCGCUCGCCAAAACUUGUCAUGGCUUAUGUAGCCUGAUGAAGCCUAAUUAAAAAAAAUAUGAAUGUGUAAUUACACAACGCUACAUUUAUAUGGUAUUUCCAGAUCGCUAUUUCAAAAUUAUGCUUUCAAUUUUGUGUUAGGCGAUCCGAUGGCUUACCAGAUGUGUUACCAGAACCAGUAGCAUACUUGUGCCAAAAUGAAGUUGUUUUGCUAACGAACUAAAAUACAUGCUGGUAUUUAUGGUUACAGAUCAACGCUGAGACCGAGGUUUGAUCUGAGCACGUUGAGAAGCAAUGCUUUGUUAAGGUCACCCGUGGUAUGACAACGCUAAUAAAGGAUGCUGUGCCUGCCAACUUUGUUCGAGCCAAAGAGGAGAAUCAUCAUUCGCAUACCGUGUAUGGAUUCCAUGGAGUAUUCCAUCGAGUAUUUCUUCUGUUUCAAUCGUCUUGGUGAAGUUUUUGAGCUGGAUCUGGAUUCUGCUGAGGAUCCGUCGACUACUAGAUGGCGAGCCACCCACUCAUUCGAUUGUGAUCCUGUUCUACAUUGCGCAUGGCAUAUUUGGUAGGAUUGUGGCCUGCUCGUGUCACAUCACUGACUAUGACUGACUUCAACGCCUUGAACUGAACUGCUUGAAAGGAGCUAUUUUUCUUUUUGAACAACUUAAAGGAACUCUCUACAUCGUCUCUUUUGAGGAUUUAAAGGACUAUUUCCAAUUUUUGA
This is a long non-coding RNA of Engraulis encrasicolus (European anchovy), 774 nucleotides long. RefSeq lists it as uncharacterized. Lineage: Eukaryota; Metazoa; Chordata; Actinopteri; Clupeiformes; Engraulidae. The transcript has 3 exons. The record is from RefSeq and is a predicted model, not a curated record.